Molecule: ribosomal RNA, 481 nt
Filed under: uncultured bacterium
Lineage: Bacteria
Description: bacterial SSU rRNA
Rfam family: Bacterial small subunit ribosomal RNA
Source: RNAcentral
UGGCUCAGGACGAACGCUGGCGGCGUGCCUAACACAUGCAAGUCGAGCGAGGAGAUCCUUCGGGAUGAUCCUAGCGGCGGACGGGUGAGUAACACGUGGGCAACCUGCCUCAUAGAGAGGAAUAGCCUUCCGAAAGGGAGAUUAAUACCUCAUAACAUUGCAGUUUCGCAUGGAACAGCAAUUAAAGGAGUAAUCCGCUAUGAGAUGGGCCCGCGGCGCAUUAGCUAGUUGGUGAGGUAACGGCUCACCAAGGCGACGAUGCGUAGCCGACCUGAGAGGGUGAUCGGCCACAUUGGGACUGAGACACGGCCCAGACUCCUACGGGAGGCAGCAGUGGGGAAUAUUGCACAAUGGGGGAAACCCUGAUGCCAGCAACGCCGCGUGAGUGAUGACGGCCUUCGGGUUGUAAAGCUCUGUCUUCAGGGACGAUAAUGACGGUACCUGAGGAGGAAGCCACGGCUAACUACGUGCCAGCCGCCGC